AUGACAGCAGAAGCUUAACUCAUCAGACAGAAUUUAUCUGUAGGGAGAAAAACACCAAGGAAGGAACUGACAACUCUGACAAUAGUAUCUAUGGCAGAGAUAGUUACAGUAACAGAUUUUUCUCCUAUCCCCUUUCAGAGUUUGGGUCCCAGGAGCUGUAUGUGAAGUCUCCGUAUUCAGUCACUGGAAUAGUGUAAAGUUCCUUCUCUAUGUUGAACUCAUAAAGGUCCUGAAUGCACCAAAUAACAAAGGUGCCCACCUGUCAGAGCCAGAGAGGGGGUAGAUAUCGGUACCAUCCCAAAAGUCUGUGCAGGCCUCGAGGAUGAUGUCAGCUGUCCCAUGAGAAAACAUCUGCUCAGUGCCUGAAGUGUAGGAGAACAAUGAGUCAGCAUCACACAAACAGGCUCCCAGGAAAGGGAUAUCAUACCAACCGCUCCCUUAUUUGUUAAAAGCGAGUGUUCCUGCAAACUGCCUUGACACACUCCAGAUAUCCCCUUUCCUCUAUUGAAAGUCUUCAGUCUCCGUCAAGAAAUUAUUCAAGACUGGAUGAUAUAUAUUCAGCUGCUAUUUGUCUAACUAGCAGAAGAAAAGAUAUUCCUGUGUUCCUCUUCUCAAGAGAGCACAAGCACCAGUGAUGAGCCUGCGGGGAUCAAAGUCUGCCUACACUGGAAAGUGCGUUCGAUUUUAGGCCAGGCAUGCAUCUAAAGGUGUCUGGCUUCUGGAAAAAAUUGGAAGGCAUCCUACAUUACACCUGACAAACUCUGAUCCUCAGCCAUUUCUGACAACGGAACUGUAUUAGCUGACUGGAGCUAGAGGACAAGUCUCUCAUCUUCUGAGUGACAGAUGUCUGUGCUGCAGUGGUGCUCUGAGCGCGUCCUCUGUUCCAGGAGUGCUAACUCUUCAUCACACACAUAUAUUAGAGCAAAAAGAUUGCUUUCAGCUAGAUUUGGGACUGAUGUUUUCACUUGGGUUCAUUUUAUUUUUAGUAUUUUAAAAUAAACCUAGCUUAUCAAAUUUACUACUGAGGUUA
Harpia harpyja (harpy eagle) is the source of this 1030-nucleotide long non-coding RNA. RefSeq lists it as uncharacterized. The record is from RefSeq and is a predicted model, not a curated record. The transcript has 4 exons. NCBI's taxonomy places the organism in Eukaryota, Metazoa, Chordata, Aves, Accipitriformes, Accipitridae.